This 301-nucleotide ribosomal RNA is filed under the name uncultured bacterium. RNAcentral's name for it is "partial 16S ribosomal RNA". It matches the Rfam family "Bacterial small subunit ribosomal RNA", at positions 509 to 807 of the family's 1533-position model. The record is from RNAcentral.
CAGUCGCCACGGGAACACGAAGGGUGCAAGCGUUAAUCGGAAUUACUGGGCGUAAAGCGUGCGUAGGCGGUGAGUUAAGUCUGCUGUGAAAUCCCCGGGCUCAACCUGGGAAUGGCAGUGGAUACUGGCUCGCUAGAGUGUGUCAGAGGAUGGUGGAAUUCCCGGUGUAGCGGUGAAAUGCGUAGAGAUCGGGAGGAACAUCAGUGGCGAAGGCGGCCAUCUGGGACAACACUGAUGCUGAGGCACGAAAGCGUGGGGAGCAAACAGGAUUAGAUACCCCAGUAGUCCCUGUCUCUUAUAC